CGCGGGGUGGAGAAGCAGUAUCUCGAGAGGCUCAUAACCUCUAGACCCGGGUGCGAUUCCCGGCCCCGCAA
RNAcentral lists this transfer RNA (71 nucleotides) under bacterium. RNAcentral describes it as "tRNA-Met". It matches the Rfam family "tRNA". From Rfam's summary of the family: Transfer RNA (tRNA) molecules are approximately 80 nucleotides in length. Their secondary structure includes four short double-helical elements and three loops (D, anti-codon, and T loops). RNAcentral also lists the same sequence under 1 other name. The record is from RNAcentral.